GACGAACGCUGGCGGCGUGCUUAACACAUGCAAGUCGAACGGAAAGGCCCUGCUUUUGUGGGGUGCUCGAGUGGCGAACGGGUGAGUAACACGUGAGUAACCUGCCCUUGACUUUGGGAUAACUUCAGGAAACUGGGGCUAAUACCGGAUAGGAGCUCCUGCUGCAUGGUGGGGGUUGGAAAGUUUCGGCGGUUGGGGAUGGACUCGCGGCUUAUCAGCUUGUUGGGGGGGUAGUGGCUUACCAAGGCUUUGACGGGUAGCCGGCCUGUGAGGGGGACCGGGCCCAUUGGGGACGGGGAUCCGGCCGAGCCCCCGCCGGGGGGCAGGGGGGGGGAAUAUUGAAAAAGGGGGGGAAUGUUGAUGCCGACACGCGGGGGGGGGGAUGGCGGCUUUGGGGUUGAAAACCCUUUCCCCUUGUGACAAAGGGGGAGGGAGGGAAUGGGGAAAAGAAGCACCGGCUAAUUACG
This 467-nucleotide ribosomal RNA is filed under the name uncultured bacterium. Its description in RNAcentral is "partial 16S ribosomal RNA". It matches the Rfam family "Bacterial small subunit ribosomal RNA", at positions 28 to 505 of the family's 1533-position model. The record is from RNAcentral.